GUGCAGAUGAUGGAAACAUUUUUGAACUGAGCAAGGUGAUGCUUUCAAAGGAACCACUGAUGCAC
Small nucleolar RNA from Elgaria multicarinata webbii, 65 nucleotides. RefSeq annotates it as small nucleolar RNA SNORD42. The transcript has a single exon. Lineage: Eukaryota; Metazoa; Chordata; Lepidosauria; Squamata; Anguidae. The record is from RefSeq and is a predicted model, not a curated record.